CUCAAACCGUCAUCCUCAUACACAAAAAAAAAUAAAAUUUCAGCCACAACAAAGACGCACCAAAACUGCACCGAACUCCCCAUACAUAUACAUAUAAACUCAAAAAUUCAGCCAACAUACCAGACCCGAUAUGUUGUCGUUCGCCAAAUCACAGUCGCCGGUUACUUAAAUCCAAGCCGUCGACGUCAACAUCACUCGUCGGCUGCUUCUAACAGAGCUUCCGACGCCUUAGCUUCUAACAGGAAACUGCAGAUUGCCUCCGUGCGCGGCGGCGGUCUUCAGAACUGGAGUGCUCAGUUGUGAGAGAAAGGAAAAUUACUUUUGGGUCGGGUUGGUUAGUGGUUAUUAAUUGGGUUGGGGCUUAAUUUCAAUCAGGCUUGUUUAUGUCUAUCACUUGGGUUUGGGCUUAGUUGCUGUAUUAGUUUAUUACUUGGGUUUGGGCUUAAUUGGUGUAUUAGUUAUCAAUUGGGUUUGGACUUAUUUUCAAUCGGGCUGGGUUAUUUGUAUUGCUUUGGCUUGGGCUUGGGCUUGGACUUGUUUAAGAUUUUGAGUGUGAUUUAGGCCCAAAUUUGUGAAAUGGGCUCAUUUAUUAUUUUGUUGUUCUGAUUUUGUAUUAUUAAAAAAAAAAGAGUAAAAAAAAAGGUAAAAAAAAAAAUUCUUGAAUUUUGAGAAUUUCCUGACAUUCUUUUAUAGGUACAUUAUUUCCUCGACGAACACGGAAUUUUCUAUCUUGGCAUCUCAGCGCUUAACAGUUCAGAAAGUGGAGACAUUCGACACUAGGACGACUCAGACCAACUGAACCCAGGGAGCCUCUGCUUCUAUCUAUUUUAGUGACAAUGUUACUGUAUUUUAGAAUUGCAUUAUUUCAUUCUUUGUGUUGCUAAUAUUUGGAUAAUUUAGCCUUAAAUCUAUUGGACUGAAAUUCACGAGCCGACCCCAUUGUUCACUUAUUUACCCCACGCGACUAGACCUAGCAUUUGUACCUUUGUUUUUUUAUUUUAUUGGCAUUAGUAGUAUUAGCUUGUGAUCAGGCCAUACAUAAUCCCUACAAUAAAAUAAAAUAAUAAUAAUAACAAUGGAUAAAUUUCAGUCACUAUUUUCCCUGUUAGCACUCGUUGGUUGUUGAUCUCAGUAGACACUUCACCUAGCUUGUGUUACCGUGUAUGCGAUUGCGUAGUGGUCGCGUUACUGCCUCUAGCUCUAGUACCGUUGCCAUGGACCCUCCCCACAUUGAAGCUAUCACCCGACAGUUGGCACAGUUACAAAAUCAAUUAACGGCUGUCCAAACUGAGUUAGCCGCCACGCGCGAGGAGAACAGAGCCCUAACCGCUAGGGUAAACACUCUUGACCCAACCCAAUACUCAACUGAAGCUGAAAAUUCUGACGCUUCCAUUAAUAGACCUCAUCGUCGUCCACAAGGUGGUCGACACCAUGCUAGAUAUGAUCGUAGGGAAGGAAAUCAAGCUCGUGGGCGCGAGCGGGAAUAUCACCGUCAUGGUACACUGUCCCCCCCUCGCCACGAGGAGCGCCUCUUUCGAAAUAUUAAGUUAGAUGCCCCUACAUUUGAUGGUUGUCUAGAUCCUAGUGUAUUCAAUCAAUGGGUUAGGGAUAUGGAUCGCUUCUUUGCCUGGUAUGGGGUCCCUGAAGAUCGAAGGGUACAAUUUGUCAGUUUGAAAUUAACUAGCACAGCUCAACUGUUUUGGGAAAGCGUUGAGGACCUCCUAGAGAGGCGCCAUGCUCCCCCUAUUGGGAAUUGGAAUGAAAUGAAGCGUCGCCUUGAAGAAAAAUAUUUACCUCAAUCUUACAGGGACAACUUGCUGGAUCAAUGGAAUGCACUUACACAAGGCAGUCGACCUGUGACCGAAUAUGUUGCUCAGUUUGACGAGUUUCAAAUGAGAUGUCAGGUUGUUGAGGACGAAGUCAUGACUUUGAGUAGGUUUAGGCAAGGCCUACGGGAUGAUCGUAGACGUGAGCUUAUCCUUAGAGGUGUCACCACUCUUGACCACGCCUACUCCUUCGUUCGGGAUUACGAGUUAGUGACUAGGACACCGUACAGAAGUCGUAGUGACUCCCGCACUGCAACCUCUUCUGCAUCCACUCCGUCCCCUAAGUCUAUUCUAGGUCCUCCUCCUUCUAAUACUACCCCUACAUCGGAUAGUAGAGGUAGAGGUUCUGAAGUUUCAAGAACGUCCUCUCGUUUGCAAUGCUUCAACUGUAACGGUUUUGGUCACAUUGCUUCUAAGUGUCCUAGCCAAGCCCUAGUUUUGGAAGAGCGUGAAGGUAUAGUUGACGAGCCACUAGAGGUUCAGGUGUAUGAACCUAAGUUAGAAGAGUUUGAUGACUUGGAGGAUAGUGAAGAUACCUUCAUGGGUUGUAUCCAGGCUAGUCCCCUUAUCCCACAUACGCUAGGGUCGGUGUCGUCCGUUGUACUCUUACCCAGCCGAGGGAUGCCGAUGAUUGGCGCCGUCAU
RNAcentral lists this long non-coding RNA (2470 nucleotides) under Olea europaea subsp. europaea. Lineage: Eukaryota; Viridiplantae; Streptophyta; Magnoliopsida; Lamiales; Oleaceae. The record is from RNAcentral.